CCUACGGGAGGCUGCAGUGAGGAAUAUUGGUCAAUGGACGAGAGUCUGAACCAGCCAAGUAGCGUGAAGGAUGACUGUCCUAUGGGUUGUAAACUUCUUUUAUAUGGGAAUAAAAUGUUCCACGUGUGGGAUUUUGUAUGUACCAUAUGAAUAAGGAUCGGCUAACUCCGUGCCAGCAGCCGCGGUAAUACGGAGGAUCCGAGCGUUAUCCGGAUUUAUUGGGUUUAAAGGGAGCGUAGGUGGAUUGUUAAGUCAGUUGUGAAAGUUUGCGGCUCAACCGUAGAAGUGCAGUUGAAACUGGCAGUCUUGAGUACAGUAGAGGUGGGCGGAAUGCGUGGUGUAGCGGUGAAAUGCUUAGAUAUCACGAAGAACUCCGAUUGCGAAGGCAGUUCACUGGACUGCAACUGACACUGAGGCUCGAAAGUGUGGGUAUCAAACAGGAUUAGAUACCCUUGUAGUC
This 460-nucleotide ribosomal RNA is filed under the name uncultured bacterium. Its description in RNAcentral is "partial 16S ribosomal RNA". It matches the Rfam family "Bacterial small subunit ribosomal RNA", at positions 338 to 795 of the family's 1533-position model. The record is from RNAcentral.